GCGGGUGUAGCUCAGCUGGUAGAGCAUUAGCUUCCCAAGCUAAGGGUCGCGAGUUCGAAUCUCGUCGUCCGCUCCA
RNAcentral lists this transfer RNA (76 nucleotides) under Sporomusa termitida. Its description in RNAcentral is "tRNA-Gly". It matches the Rfam family "tRNA". Rfam says of the family: Transfer RNA (tRNA) molecules are approximately 80 nucleotides in length. Their secondary structure includes four short double-helical elements and three loops (D, anti-codon, and T loops). Lineage: Bacteria; Bacillati; Bacillota; Negativicutes; Selenomonadales; Sporomusaceae. The record is from RNAcentral. RNAcentral also lists the same sequence under 1 other name.